Molecule: long non-coding RNA, 574 nt
Organism: Lepisosteus oculatus (spotted gar)
Lineage: Eukaryota; Metazoa; Chordata; Actinopteri; Semionotiformes; Lepisosteidae
Source: RefSeq, a predicted model, not a curated record
GAGCCUUAGCCACAGAGACACCGAUUAGUUUUUAACUGGAUAAGCAGUUACUUAAAGCAAGGUGAUGUCAUGAUAAUAAAGGAGAAGCUGAUCGUUUUUCAUCUUUCUCAUCAGGUUCUCCCUGGGUCAACAUUGUUUGACCGGUACAGUUUCACUUAAGGCAGAGCCUGGCUUUGGAGUCGCCACUUACUCCAAUAAAGCAACCGACCACUCCCUCUUCAAAACAGGUCGCAUCGCGGGCUUACAGUGAAAUAAACGCUCUUUUUGGGCCCUGUCGGUUCACUAGAACGUGGGCACAGUACUCCGGUCUGAUCGAGAGGUGCUCUGACCUGAUCAGUGGGAGAGGCAGUAGGUGCAGCAGGAGCUGAUCACAGCCAGCGUCACAGCUGUGCAGCCCUGGAGGACAAAGCACAGUGGGAAGGCCCCGGGUUCGACACCCGAACCUGUAACAGAGCGGCAAGACAGGGUGAGGGGCCGACGGAGCGCAGCAGCGAGUCAGGCAGGGCGGAGAGGCGGGAGUCAUCAUCCCGGGGGGGCUUCGCGUUGCACUGGGCGGCGCCCGGGCGGACCGCGA